ACAGGUAAAAUUAAAUUUUUUGUUUUAAAUAGGAGGGUUAAAAAAUUUUUUCCUAAAAAAGAUUCUCUGGUACCUUUUGCAUCAUGGGUUAACAAAAAUUACUAAAUUAAUAAAUCCCGAAAAAGUUUUUUGAGAAAAAUUAAAUUGUUUGUGGAAAAGCACAUAAAAAAUUUUUUUCUAAAAUGAUAUGUUUUAUAGCUUAUAUCUGGUUUUUGGAGUUUUUAUUUAAUAAUUUAAUUUGUUCAUAAAAAAUUUGUUAAGAUUAGUUAAUAAAUUUUUUAUAAAGCAAUCUUUUUAUAAUGAAAAAAUAAAAAUAAAAAUUUUUUUAGAGUUGGCUAUACUUCUUUUAGAAUAUAAUAUUUUUAAGCUUUUUAUGAAUUCAAAAUUCCUGAAAAAUUUUUUCUGGGGAGAUAUUAUGUUAAUAUAAGUAAAUUAAUUUGUUUAGCGUAAGUAUAAAAAUUUUAUUUUCUUUAAUUUUGUAAAAUAUUUUAGAAACUCGACAAAUGUAGUUUGGCCUGUUUUUCAAAGACAUCUCCCCUUCAAGGGGUAUUUCCUGCUCAGUGAAAAAUUUUUAACAGCCGGCAACGCUAAGGUAGCGUAAUAAUUAGUUCUUUAAUUAAGAAAGGGUAUGAAUGGAUACACUAGAAAAAUUUUUCUUCAAUAACUAUUGAAUUUUAUUUUUAAUGAAAAGAUUAAAAUGAGAUUUUUAGACGAUAAGACCCUAUGAAGCUUUACUUUAUAAAAGUUUUUUUGGGGCAAAAAAUAAAAUUUUUAUUGUAAAAAAGUUAUGUAAGAUCUUUUUGAAGAAUAAGAAAAAGCUACUCUAGGGAUAACAGCAUAAUUUUUAUAAAAGCUCUUAUUGAAAUAAAAGAUUGUGACCUCGAUGUUGAAUUAAGAAAAAUAAUUUGUGAAGCAGCUAAUUAUUUUUAGUCUGUUCGACUAAAAUUUCUUACAUGAUUUGAGUUUAGAUCGACGAAAGUCAGAUUGGUUUCUAUCUAAAAUUUGGUAAAGUUAUUUUAGUACGAAAGGAAAAAAAAGCUUUUU
This 1044-nucleotide ribosomal RNA is filed under the name Phyllodiaptomus tunguidus. RNAcentral describes it as "16S ribosomal RNA". The stretch from base 704 to 1001 matches the Rfam family "Archaeal large subunit ribosomal RNA", at positions 2150 to 2716 of the family's 2987-position model. Lineage: Eukaryota; Metazoa; Arthropoda; Copepoda; Calanoida; Diaptomidae. The record is from RNAcentral.